RNAcentral lists this ribosomal RNA (479 nucleotides) under uncultured bacterium. Its description in RNAcentral is "partial 16S ribosomal RNA". It matches the Rfam family "Bacterial small subunit ribosomal RNA", at positions 28 to 507 of the family's 1533-position model. The record is from RNAcentral.
GAUGAACGCUAGCGGGAGGCCUAACACAUGCAAGCCGAGCGGUAGAGCUUCUUCGGAAACUUGAGAGCGGCGCACGGGUGCGUAACACGUGUGCAACCUACCUUUAUCUGGGGGAUAGCCUUUCGAAAGGAAGAUUAAUACCCCAUAAUAUAAUGAUUGGCAUCAAUUAUUAUUGAAAACUCCGGUGGAUAGAGAUGGGCACGCGCAAGAUUAGAUAGUUGGUGAGGUACCGGCUCACCAAGUCAAUGAUCUUUAGGGGUCCUGAGAGGGAGAGCCCCCACACUGGUACUGAGCCAAGGACCAGACUGCUACGGGCGGCAGCAGUAAGGAAGAUUGGAGUAGGGAUGAUUGCCUGAUCCAGCCAACCCGCGUGAAGGAUGACCGUCCUCUGGAUUGUAACCUUCUUUUGUACAGGGGUAAUCCUCCCCUCGUGAGGGUAGCUGACGGUACUGUACGAAUAAGCACCGGCUAACUCCGUG